This 28-nucleotide small RNA is filed under the name Bombyx mori (domestic silkworm). Its description in RNAcentral is "ovarian small RNA-23520". Lineage: Eukaryota; Metazoa; Arthropoda; Insecta; Lepidoptera; Bombycidae. The record is from RNAcentral.
UAUCAGCUCCUCUCUAAGCCGCUGGUAA